Molecule: unclassified non-coding RNA, 161 nt
Filed under: uncultured Sordariomycetes
Lineage: Eukaryota; Fungi; Ascomycota; Sordariomycetes
Description: sequence contains ITS1
Source: RNAcentral
GUGAGACAUAGCGCUCCAACCCUUGCGAAUCUACCAUUGCGGCGUUGUUUCGGCGGGUUUGCCAGUAUCUACUGGCAUACUGCCUGGCCAGCGGAGCCUGCCGACAGCGCCAAACUCUUUUUUUAGUGGAAGUCUUCUGAGUGGCAACCAAAAAAUAAGCA